UAUUCAGACUUUAUUGACAAAUAUACACAUUACAAACAUAUAAAAUGCUGGAAGGAUCAACAUAUAACAAUCAUUCAAAGUGGACAGAAGGAUUUGAUCAGCAUAUUAUAAAUAUAAUAUAAUAUAAUAUAUAUUUAUAUAAAUCUCAAGACAAUUGCAUUUUGAUAAAUAUCAUAGGCAUACAUACUGGAUAAGAGAAUAUUGGAAGUUCCAAGCAUAACAAACCUAUUGCAAUUAAAACAAUUUAAUUUAACUUUCUGAUGAAAAAGGAUUUUUUGGCAAAUCAUUAAUUUUAAAUACCAUAAUGCUGUAUCAUUGGCAAACUAUCGGUUUACUAUGAGCAAUUAUCAAAUUGUGUAUUAACAAAAUGAUUUGGCCAGAUUCCUCGAUAAAGGUAGAUGUUAGCACCUUAUGAAUCAAACAGUAUAAAAAGAAAUUAAACUAAUAAAUAAUAGCAAAAAGUACCAACAAAUAAUUAAACCCCUAGCUGUUGAAGUUCUCUUUUUGAAUACUGUAAAAGGACUUUUAUUCAUUGGUAUAAAUUUUUGUGGUUUGAUCAAAAAUUAUAUGUUUGCAGGUUCUUAAAAUCAUUUUAGUUUUCUGAUGAAAAAAAUCAAGUUAAGAAUUUGAAGCCAUCAGAAACAAAGAUUUUGAAAAUAAUCAUUUGUUGUUAUACAUAUAUAAUGAUUUGAAGAAAAUUGCAAAAUAAGAUGUUCAUUUGUCACAACUUACAGACUUACUUGUUUAUCUUCCAUUAAAUUCAUCAAAUCUUUUAUAAAAAUAAUUG
This 787-nucleotide long non-coding RNA is filed under the name Mytilus galloprovincialis (Mediterranean mussel). Lineage: Eukaryota; Metazoa; Mollusca; Bivalvia; Mytilida; Mytilidae. The record is from RNAcentral.